ACAUGCAGUCGAGCGGACAGAUGGGAGCUUGCUCCCUGAAGUCAGCGGCGGACGGGUGAGUAACACGUGGGCAACCUGCCUGUAAGACUGGGAUAACUCCGGGAAACCGGGGCUAAUACCGGAUGAUUCUUUCCCUCACAUGAGGGAAAGCUGAAAGAUGGUUUCGGCUAUCACUUACAGAUGGGCCCGCGGCGCAUUAGCUAGUUGGUGAGGUAACGGCUCACCAAGGCGACGAUGCGUAGCCGACCUGAGAGGGUGAUCGGCCACACUGGGACUGAGACACGGCCCAGACUCCUACGGGAGGCAGCAGUAGGGAAUCUUCCGCAAUGGACGAAAGUCUGACGGAGCAACGCCGCGUGAGUGAUGAAGGUUUUCGGAUCGUAAAACUCUGUUGUUAGGGAAGAACAAGUACCGGAGUAACUGCCGGUACCUUGACGGUACCUAACCAGAAAGCCACGGCUAACUACGUGCCAGCAGCCGCGGUAAUACGUAGGUGGCAAGCGUUGUCCGGAAUUAUUGGGCGUAAAGCGCGCGCAGGCGGUUCCUUAAGUCUGAUGUGAAAGCCCCCGGCUCAACCGGGGAGGGUCAUUGGAAACUGGGGAACUUGAGUGCAGAAGAGAAGAGUGGAAUUCCACGUGUAGCGGUGAAAUGCGUAGAGAUGUGGAGGAACACCAGUGGCGAAGGCGACUCUCUGGUCUGUAACUGACGCUGAG
RNAcentral lists this ribosomal RNA (713 nucleotides) under Cytobacillus oceanisediminis. RNAcentral describes it as "bacterial SSU rRNA". It matches the Rfam family "Bacterial small subunit ribosomal RNA", at positions 53 to 750 of the family's 1533-position model. The record is from RNAcentral. Lineage: Bacteria; Bacillati; Bacillota; Bacilli; Caryophanales; Bacillaceae.